GCGUAGUCGAUGGACAGCAGGUUGAUAUUCCUGCACCCGCGAGUAAAGUGAUGGAGUGACAGAUAGGGUUAACCCAAGUCCUUACUGGAUUGGGCAAGGCAAGCAGGAGAGUGGCGUAGGCAAAUCCGCGUCGGAUACUCAAAGGCUUGACUCAAGCGAACGCGCGAGCAAGUAGUGAAGAGGGCGAUACCAGGUCUCAAGAAAAGCUUCUAGCGAUAAUUUACUAGCGGCCCGUACCAAAACCGACACAGGUGGUUGAGGCGAGUAGCCUAAGGUGAGCGAGAGAACUGUUGCCAAGGAACUCGGCAAAUUGACCCCGUACGUUAGCAAUAAGGGGUGCUCGAAAGAGCCGCAGUGAAUAGGCCCUAGCAACUGUUUAACUAAAACAUAGCUCUCUGCGAAGUCGCAAGACGAAGUAUAGGGGGUGACACCUGCCCGGUGCUGGAAGGUCAAGGGGAUUUGUCAGACGCAAGUCGAAGCAUUGAACCGAAGCCCCAGUGAACGGCGGCCGUAACUAUAACGGUCCUAAGGUAGCGAAAUUCCUUGUCAGGUAAGUUCUGACCCG
RNAcentral lists this ribosomal RNA (565 nucleotides) under Porphyromonas sp. RNAcentral describes it as "partial 23S ribosomal RNA". It matches the Rfam family "Bacterial large subunit ribosomal RNA", at positions 1409 to 1990 of the family's 2925-position model. Lineage: Bacteria; Pseudomonadati; Bacteroidota; Bacteroidia; Bacteroidales; Porphyromonadaceae. The record is from RNAcentral.